GCAUUGGUGGUUCAGUGGUAGAAUUCUCGCCUGCCACGCGGGAGGUCCGGGUUCGAUUCCCGGAGAAUGCA
This 71-nucleotide transfer RNA is filed under the name Saccoglossus kowalevskii. RNAcentral describes it as "tRNA-Gly". It matches the Rfam family "tRNA". Rfam says of the family: Transfer RNA (tRNA) molecules are approximately 80 nucleotides in length. Their secondary structure includes four short double-helical elements and three loops (D, anti-codon, and T loops). Further hydrogen bonds mediate the characteristic L-shaped molecular structure. tRNAs have two regions of fundamental functional importance: the anti-codon, which is responsible for specific mRNA codon recognition, and the 3' end, to which the tRNAs corresponding amino acid is attached (by aminoacyl-tRNA synthetases). tRNAs cope with the degeneracy of the genetic code in two manners: having more than one tRNA (with a specific anti-codon) for a particular amino acid; and 'wobble' base-pairing, i.e. permitting non-standard base-pairing at the 3rd anti-codon position. Lineage: Eukaryota; Metazoa; Hemichordata; Enteropneusta; Harrimaniidae. The record is from RNAcentral.